RNAcentral lists this ribosomal RNA (231 nucleotides) under uncultured bacterium. RNAcentral's name for it is "partial 16S ribosomal RNA". It matches the Rfam family "Bacterial small subunit ribosomal RNA", at positions 524 to 751 of the family's 1533-position model. The record is from RNAcentral.
UACAGAGGUCCCAAGCGUUGUUCGGAUUUACUGGGCGUAAAGGGUGCGUAGGUGGCGAGGUAAGUUUGAUGUGAAAUCUCCGAGCUCAACUCGGAAAUGGCAUUGAAUACUAUCCCGCUUGAGGGUCGGAGGGGAGACUGGAAUUCUCCGGUGUAGCCAGUGAAAUGCGUAGAUAUCCGAGAGGAACACCAGUGGCGAAGGCGAGUCUCUGGACGACUCCUGACACUGAGG